UUAAUUGAAGCCAAAAAGAGGCCUUUCAUUGUUAAUGAAAAAAUUGAUUUACAAUCCAAUUAAA
This 64-nucleotide transfer RNA is filed under the name Eratyrus mucronatus. RNAcentral describes it as "tRNA-Asn". Lineage: Eukaryota; Metazoa; Arthropoda; Insecta; Hemiptera; Reduviidae. The record is from RNAcentral.